This 580-nucleotide ribosomal RNA is filed under the name Botryosphaeria berengeriana. RNAcentral's name for it is "eukaryotic LSU rRNA". The stretch from base 204 to 357 matches the Rfam family "5.8S ribosomal RNA". Lineage: Eukaryota; Fungi; Ascomycota; Dothideomycetes; Botryosphaeriales; Botryosphaeriaceae. The record is from RNAcentral.
UCCGUAGGGGGGACCUGCGGGGCAAUCGAGUUGAUCGGGCUCGGCCCGAUCCUCCCACCCUUUGUGUACCUACCUCUGUUGCUUUGGCGGGCCGCGGUCCUCCGCGGCCGCCCCCCUCCCCGGGGGGGUGGCCAGCGCCCGCCAGAGGACCAUCAAACUCCAGUCAGUAAACGAUGCAGUCUGAAAAACAUUUAAUAAACUAAAACUUUCAACAACGGAUCUCUUGGUUCUGGCAUCGAUGAAGAACGCAGCGAAAUGCGAUAAGUAAUGUGAAUUGCAGAAUUCAGUGAAUCAUCGAAUCUUUGAACGCACAUUGCGCCCUUUGGUAUUCCGAAGGGCAUGCCUGUUCGAGCGUCAUUACAACCCUCAAGCUCUGCUUGGUAUUGGGCACCGUCCUUUGCGGGCGCGCCUCAAAGACCUCGGCGGUGGCGUCUUGCCUCAAGCGUAGUAGAACAUACAUCUCGCUUCGGAGCGCAGGGCGUCGCCCGCCGGACGAACCUUCUGAACUUUUCUCAAGGUUGACCUCGGAUCAGGUAGGGAUACCCGCUGAACUUAAGCAUAUCAAUAAGUCGGAGGAAUC